AUGAAGAAAUCCCUCCUCUGGCUGCUGCUCCUGAGCUGCUGCUCAACGCCGUGCUCCGGCUCCGGCGACGAGCCCGACGUCCGCUGCCUCAAGAGCUUCCUGCGAUCCGUGGUUGAUCCCGGGGGCGCACUGAAAUCCUCGUGGAAUUUCAACAACGCCACAAAGGGUUACAUCUGCGGCUUCACCGGUGUAACGUGCUGGUCCGCUGACCAGCACAGGGUCUGGUCGCUGCGCCUCAGCGGCCUGGGGCUCCAAGGCCCGUUCCCCCGGGGACUGCAGGACUGCGCGAGCAUGACCGGCACCCUCGACCUGUCGAGCAACAGCUUUGCCGGACCGAUCCCCGCAGACAUCUCGCUGCAGCUCCCGUUUGUAACGUCUCUUAACCUCUCGUACAACGGCUUCCGGGGGCCGAUCCCGCCGGGCAUGGGGAAGAUGGGGGAGUUCCUCGCCCACGUCGACCUUGGGCACAACCAGCUCAGCGGCCAGAUCCCCUUGGAGCUGUCCAGGCUUCGUUUUCUGGCCUCGAUGAACGUUGCGAACAACUCGUUGUCCGGGCCGAUCCCGGCUUUUCUGCAGGGGUUUCCGGCGGCGUCCUUUGCCGGCAACGACGGGCUCUGUGGCGCUCCGUUGGAUCGUCGUUGCCCCGCCUCCGCGAGGAGUAGAAUGCAAAUCAGCGGCGAGUCGAGUGUCGGGGCGGCUGUCGGGUUCGUCCUGGGCUUUGCGGUGGCCUUCUACUUCCCGCAGUGGUUCUCCCGGAGGCUCCACCCCUACGUCUACCGCUUUCUCUGA
RNAcentral lists this ribosomal RNA (789 nucleotides) under Triticum aestivum (bread wheat). RNAcentral's name for it is "partial small subunit ribosomal RNA". The record is from RNAcentral. Lineage: Eukaryota; Viridiplantae; Streptophyta; Magnoliopsida; Poales; Poaceae.